This 254-nucleotide ribosomal RNA is filed under the name uncultured bacterium. RNAcentral's name for it is "partial 16S ribosomal RNA". It matches the Rfam family "Bacterial small subunit ribosomal RNA", at positions 524 to 776 of the family's 1533-position model. The record is from RNAcentral.
UACGAAGGGUGCAAGCGUUACUCGGAAUUACUGGGCGUAAAGCGUGCGUAGGUGGUUUGUUAAGUCUGUUGUGAAAGCCCUGGGCUCAACCUGGGAAUUGCAUUGGAUACUGGCAGGCUAGAGUGCGGUAGAGGAUGGGCGGAAUUCCCGGUGUAGCAGUGAAAUGCGUAGAGAUCGGGAGGAACAUCUGUGGCGAAGGCGGCCAUCUGGACCAGCACUGACACUGAGGCACGAAAGCGUGGGGAGCAAACAGG